GACGAACGCUGGCGGCGCGCUUAACACAUGCAAGUCGAGCGAGAACCAGGGCUUCGGCCCCGGGGACAGCGGCGAACGGGUGAGUAACACGUGGGUAAUCUGCCCUCGGCACCGGAAUAGCCCGGGGAAACCCGGAUUAAUGCCGGAUGGCCCCUUCACCUCGCGAGGUGUCGGGAAAAGGUAGCUUCGGCCUCCGGCCGAGGAUGAGCCCGCGGCGGAUUAGCUUGUUGGCGGGGUAACGGCCCACCAAGGCGACGAUCCGUAGCUGGUCUGAGAGGACGAUCAGCCACACUGGGACUGAGACACGGCCCAGACUCCUACGGGAGGCAGCAGUGGGGAAUCUUGCGCAAUGGGCGAAAGCCUGACGCAGCGACGCCGCGUGAGGGAAGAAGGCCUUCGGGUUGUAAGCCUCUUUCAGGAGGGACGAAGCCACUCGGGUGAACAGCCCAGAGGGUGACUGUACCUCCAGAAGAAGCCCCGGCUAACUACGUGCCAGCAGCCGCGGUAAUACGUAGGGGGCAAGCGUUGUCCGGAUUUACUGGGCGUAAAGCGCGUGUAGGCGGCCGCACAGGUCCGUUGUGAAAACUGGAGGCUUAACCUUCAGACGUCGACGGAAACCGUGUGGCUAGAGUCCGGAAGAGGAGAGUGGAAUUCCUGGUGUAGCGGUGAAAUGCGCAGAUAUCAGGAAGGACACCAAUGGCGAAGGCAGCUCUCUGGGACGGUACUGACGCUGAGACGCGAAAGCGUGGGGAGCGAACAGGAUUAGAUACCCUGGUAGUCCACGCCGUAAACGAUGGGUGCUAGGUGUGGGAGGUGUCGACUCCUUCCGUGCCGCAGCUAACGCAUUAAGCACCCCGCCUGGGGAGUACGGCCGCAAGGCUA
This 882-nucleotide ribosomal RNA is filed under the name uncultured bacterium. RNAcentral's name for it is "bacterial SSU rRNA". It matches the Rfam family "Bacterial small subunit ribosomal RNA", at positions 28 to 896 of the family's 1533-position model. The record is from RNAcentral.